UACAGAGACUGCAAGCGUUAUUCGGAUUCACUGGGCGUAAAGGGUGCGCAGGCGGUUAUGUGUGUUAGAUGUGAAAGCCCGAGGCUCAACCUCGGAAUUGCGUCUAAAACUACAUGACUAGAGUACCGGAGAGGAUAGCGGAAUUCACGGUGUAGCAGUGAAAUGCGUAGAUAUCGUGAAGAACACCAGCGGCGAAGGCGGCUAUCUGGAAGGUUACUGACGCUCAGGCACGAAAGCGUGGGGAGCAAAAGGG
Molecule: ribosomal RNA, 253 nt
Filed under: uncultured bacterium
Lineage: Bacteria
Description: partial 16S ribosomal RNA
Rfam family: Bacterial small subunit ribosomal RNA
Source: RNAcentral